GAUGAAGAACGUAGCGAAAUGCGAUAAGUAAUGCGAAUUGCAGAAUUCCAGUGAAUCAUCGAAUCUUUGAACGCACAUUGCGCCCCCUGGUAUUCCGGGGGGCAUGCCUGUUCGAGCGUCAUUUCACCACUCAAGCCUCGCUUGGUAUUGGGCAACGCGGUCCGCCGCGUGCCUCAAAUCGACCGGCUGGGUCUUCUGUCCCCUAAGCGUUGUGGAAACUAUUCGCUAAAGGGUGUUCGGGAGGCUACGCCGUAAAACAACCCCAUUUCUAAGGUUGACCUCGGAUCAGGUAGGGAUACCCGCUGAACUUAAGCAUAUCAAUAAGCGGAGGA
Molecule: unclassified non-coding RNA, 332 nt
Filed under: soil metagenome
Description: partial contains 5.8S ribosomal RNA, internal transcribed spacer 2, and large subunit ribosomal RNA
Rfam family: 5.8S ribosomal RNA (bases 1-121)
Source: RNAcentral